UACGAAGGGUGCAAGCGUUACUCGGAAUUACUGGGCGUAAAGCGUGCGUAGGCGGUUCGUUAAGUCAGAUGUGAAAGCCCUGGGCUCAACCUGGGAAUUGCAUUUGAAACUGGCGGGCUAGAGUUCGGUAGAGGGUCGCGGAAUUCCCGGUGUAGCGGUGAAAUGCGUAGAGAUCGGGAGGAACAUCAGUGGCGAAGGCGGCGACCUGGACCAGAACUGACGCUAAGGUGCGAAAGCGUGGGGAGCAAACAGG
This 253-nucleotide unclassified non-coding RNA is filed under the name uncultured Lysobacteraceae bacterium. RNAcentral describes it as "uncultured Xanthomonadaceae bacterium contains 16S-23S intergenic spacer region". It matches the Rfam family "Bacterial small subunit ribosomal RNA", at positions 524 to 776 of the family's 1533-position model. Lineage: Bacteria; Pseudomonadati; Pseudomonadota; Gammaproteobacteria; Lysobacterales; Lysobacteraceae. The record is from RNAcentral.